AGGUAGUGACAAAAUGAUCCAAUACAGGACAUCUAAUGUCUUGUAAUUGGAAUGAGAACAAUUUAAAUCCCUUAUCGAGGAUCCAUUGGAGGGCAAGUCUGGUGCCAGCAGCCGCGGUAAUUCCAGCUCCAAUAGCGUAUAUUAAAGUUGUUGCAGUUAAAAAGCUCGUAGUCAGAUUUUGGCACCAUGCCGAACUGUCUGCCGAUUGGUAUGCACGGUUUGGCGGGUGCUUCCUUCCGGAAGCCCGCGUUCUUCUUCACUGAAGAGCGUGGUGAGUCCGGAUCAUUUACUUUGAAAAAAUUAGAGUGUUCAAAGCAGGCCUAUGCUCUGAAUAGGUUAGCAUGGAAUAAUAGAAUAGGACUUCGGUACUAUUUUGUUGGUUUCUAGGACCGAAGUAAUGAUUAAUAGGGACAGUUGGGGGCAUUCAUAUUCCAUUGUCAGAGGUGAAAUUCUUGGAUUAACGGAAGAUGAACUACUGCGAAAGCAUCUGCCAAGGAUGUUUUCAUUGAUCAAGAACGAAAGUUAGGGGAUCGAAGACGAUCAGAUACCGUCGUAGUCUUAACCAUAAACUAUGCCGACUAGGGAUGUGGAGACGCUACUUAAUGGCUCUCCCUGCACCUUAUGAGAAAUCAAAGUCUUUGGGUUCCGGGGGGAGUAUGGUCGCAAGG
Molecule: ribosomal RNA, 668 nt
Filed under: eukaryote marine clone ANT37-27
Lineage: Eukaryota
Description: SSU rRNA
Rfam family: Eukaryotic small subunit ribosomal RNA
Source: RNAcentral